Molecule: ribosomal RNA, 419 nt
Filed under: uncultured eukaryote
Lineage: Eukaryota
Description: SSU rRNA
Rfam family: Eukaryotic small subunit ribosomal RNA
Source: RNAcentral
CCAGCAGCUGCGGUAAUUCCAGCUCCAAUAGCGUAUAUUAAAGUUGUUGCGGUUAGAAAUCUCGUAGUUGGAUUUCUGCUGAGAACGACCGGUCCGCCCUCUGGGUGUGAUUCUGGUUCGACCUGUGCAUUUUUCUGGAGAACGUUUCUGCACUUGAUUGUGUGGAGCGGUAUCCAGGAGUUUUACUUUGAGAAAAUUAGAGUGUUUCAAGCAGGCGUCUGCCUUGAAUACUACAGCAUGGAAUAAUAACAUAUGACUUUGGUUCUAUUUUGUUGGUCUCUAGAACCGAAGUAAUGAUUAAUAGGGAUAGUUGGGGGCAUUCGUAUUUGACUGUCAGAGGUGAAAUUCUUGGAUUUGUCAAAGACGAACUACUGCGAAAGCAUUUGCCAAGGAUGUUUUCAUUAAUCAAGAACGAAAGU